AAAACUUUCAACAACGGAUCUCUUGGUUCCAGCAUCGAUGAAGAACGCAGCGAAAUGCGAUAACUAAUGUGAAUUGCAGAAUUCAGUGAAUCAUCGAGUCUUUGAACGCACAUUGCGCCCCUCGGUAUUCCGGGGGGCAUGCCUGUUCGAGCGUCAUUAUA
This 161-nucleotide ribosomal RNA is filed under the name Cetraria aculeata. Its description in RNAcentral is "5.8S ribosomal RNA". It matches the Rfam family "5.8S ribosomal RNA". From Rfam's summary of the family: 5.8S ribosomal RNA (5.8S rRNA) is a component of the large subunit of the eukaryotic ribosome. It is transcribed by RNA polymerase I as part of the 45S precursor that also contains 18S and 28S rRNA. The record is from RNAcentral. Lineage: Eukaryota; Fungi; Ascomycota; Lecanoromycetes; Lecanorales; Parmeliaceae.